This 357-nucleotide ribosomal RNA is filed under the name Nocardia seriolae. RNAcentral describes it as "bacterial SSU rRNA". It matches the Rfam family "Bacterial small subunit ribosomal RNA", at positions 1181 to 1533 of the family's 1533-position model. Lineage: Bacteria; Bacillati; Actinomycetota; Actinomycetes; Mycobacteriales; Nocardiaceae. The record is from RNAcentral.
GACGUCAAGUCAUCAUGCCCCUUAUGUCCAGGGCUUCACACAUGCUACAAUGGCCGGUACAGAGGGCUGCGAUACCGUGAGGUGGAGCGAAUCCCUUAAAGCCGGUCUCAGUUCGGAUCGGGGUCUGCAACUCGACCCCGUGAAGUUGGAGUCGCUAGUAAUCGCAGAUCAGCAACGCUGCGGUGAAUACGUUCCCGGGCCUUGUACACACCGCCCGUCACGUCAUGAAAGUCGGUAACACCCGAAGCCGGUGGCCUAACCCUUGUGGAGGGAGCCGUCGAAGGUGGGAUUGGCGAUUGGGACGAAGUCGUAACAAGGUAGCCGUACCGGAAGGUGCGGCUGGAUCACCUCCUUUCU